CCUACGGGUGGCAGCAGUGAGGAAUAUUGGUCAAUGGCCGAGAGUCUGAACCAGCCAAGUCGCGUGAGGGAAGACGGCCCUACGGGUUGUAAACCUCUUUUGUCGGGGAGCAAAGCGAGUCACGUGCGCCGCCUUGAGAGUACCCGAAGAAAAAGCAUCGGCUAACUCCGUGCCAGCAGCCGCGGUAAUUCGGAGGAUGCGAGCGUUAUCCGGAUUUCUUGGGUGUAAAGGGUGCGCGGUCGGAGGGGCAAGUCAGCGGUAAAAUUGCGGGGCUCAACCCCGUACUGCCGUUGAAACUGCAUCCCUUGAGUGCGCGAGGAGUAGGCGGAAUGCGUGGUGUAGCGGUGAAAUGCAUAGAUAUCACGCAGAACUCCGAUUGCGAAGGCAGCAUACCGGCGCGCAACUGACGCUCAUGCACGAAAGCGUGGGUAUCGAACAGGAUUAGAUACCCCGGUAGUC
RNAcentral lists this ribosomal RNA (459 nucleotides) under uncultured bacterium. RNAcentral's name for it is "partial 16S ribosomal RNA". It matches the Rfam family "Bacterial small subunit ribosomal RNA", at positions 338 to 795 of the family's 1533-position model. The record is from RNAcentral.